This 18-nucleotide transfer RNA is filed under the name Thymallus thymallus (grayling). RNAcentral describes it as "partial tRNA-Thr". The record is from RNAcentral. Lineage: Eukaryota; Metazoa; Chordata; Actinopteri; Salmoniformes; Salmonidae.
AAAACCCUCCCUAGUGCU